AUUGAACGCUGGCGGCAGGCCUAACACAUGCAAGUCGAGCGGAUGAAGGGAGCUUGCUCCUGGAUUCAGCGGCGGACGGGUGAGUAAUGCCUAGGAAUCUGCCUGGUAGUGGGGGAUAACGUCCGGAAACGGGCGCUAAUACCGCAUACGUCCUGAGGGAGAAAGUGGGGGAUCUUCGGACCUCACGCUAUCAGAUGAGCCUAGGUCGGAUUAGCUAGUUGGUGGGGUAAAGGCCUACCAAGGCGACGAUCCGUAACUGGUCUGAGAGGAUGAUCAGUCACAUGGGAAAUGAGCAACGGUCCAGACUCUUAGGGGAGGCAGCAGGGGGGAAUAUUGGACAAUGGGCGAAAGCUUGAUCAGCCAUGCCGCGUGUGUGAAGAAGGUCUUCGGAUUGUAAAGCACUUUAAGUUGGGAGGAAGGGCAGUAAGUUAAUACCUUGCUGUUUUGACGUUACCAACAGAAUAAGCACCGGCUAACUUCGUG
This 483-nucleotide ribosomal RNA is filed under the name uncultured bacterium. RNAcentral describes it as "partial 16S ribosomal RNA". It matches the Rfam family "Bacterial small subunit ribosomal RNA", at positions 30 to 507 of the family's 1533-position model. The record is from RNAcentral.